UUAUUUAAAAAAUUUUAUGCAAGGAAGAGACCUAUCACACAUGUUAAUUCCUUGGAGUUAGAGGCUAUCUCAGAGACCAGAACAGAGAGGGAAAUUUUGUGUUCGUAUGAUAGCUUUGUCAGAACAGCUGCAUAAAAGUGAGGGAAAAUAAAUGUUGUUGAAAUAACUUCCACAGACGUGGCUGAGAAAGCAGAAAGCCUAAAGGAGACCUAAAGCUCAUGGCAAGACUUUUUCACCAGGUGUACUCUGUGUGUCCACACACGCAGAUAAAGAACAUUUUUAGGCAGUGAAGGCAAAACAUUGGUUUAGGAGGAAGUUCAAUAUCAAGAGAAUUUUGAGUUGGUGCCAGAAUGAAUACUAUAAUGUUCUUUAAUGUUUCAAGUAAAGGUUUGCCACACUGUUUGAAGAAACGUGCACGUAUCCAUCUGCAAAAAGCCAGCUGUCCAGGAAGCAGUUCUAUUGUGAAGAGUCUACUCUUGCCUUUCAGGGAAAUAUAGCUCAGAACUUCCUUCUUCAGGCCAAGGAGGGACUGUUAGCCCUGAACCCUGAAGUUAACAGAGAACUCACGGUGCUUUUACUCCAUCAGUACUGUCUGCUUCAGGACCAGGGUUCUGGCUGACCAGCAGAGCUAUAAUCUUAUUCCAGCAACACCAAUAAGCAACUGGUACGUGACCAUGAGAAGAGAACUUCAGCAUUGCAAGACCAGAACACUGGCUAUCAAAAAGAUUAAUCACAAGGGGAUAUAUUGUUGCCUGAAUAUUUUAACAACUGGCAUGGAAAUACUCUACCUUCCAAGAAAACUCCCUCCCAGAACAGCCGAGUAAAUCUCAGAUGAGCUAUCAACUUGACCCACCACCGAAACGUUUAAUUUUUUCCAAAAUCAAAUUAAAUGAGUUAAUUCUUUUUUCUA
Molecule: long non-coding RNA, 910 nt
Organism: Pipra filicauda (Wire-tailed manakin)
Lineage: Eukaryota; Metazoa; Chordata; Aves; Passeriformes; Pipridae
Exons: 3
Source: RefSeq, a predicted model, not a curated record